GACGAACGCUGGCGGCGUGCUUAACACAUGCAAGUGGAGCGACGAACCAGGCUUCGGCCUGGGGCAGAGCCGCGAACGGGUGAGUAACACGUGGGUAACCUGCCCUGAUGAUCGGGACAACCCGGGGAAACCCGGGCUAAUACCGAAUGUGCCCGCGAGCCGCAAGGCUUGCGAGGAAAGAGCUUCGGCCUCCGCAUCGGGAUGGGCCCGCGGCCCAUUAGCUUGUUGGUGGGGUAACGCCUACCAAGGCAGCAAUGGGUAGCUGGUCUGAGAGGACGAUCAGCCACACUGGGACU
RNAcentral lists this ribosomal RNA (296 nucleotides) under uncultured bacterium. RNAcentral's name for it is "partial 16S ribosomal RNA". It matches the Rfam family "Bacterial small subunit ribosomal RNA", at positions 28 to 320 of the family's 1533-position model. The record is from RNAcentral.